RNAcentral lists this ribosomal RNA (207 nucleotides) under uncultured delta proteobacterium. RNAcentral's name for it is "partial 16S ribosomal RNA". It matches the Rfam family "Bacterial small subunit ribosomal RNA", at positions 568 to 774 of the family's 1533-position model. Lineage: Bacteria; Deltaproteobacteria. The record is from RNAcentral.
CGUGUAGGCGGCCAGUCAAGUCGGGUGUGAAAGCCCUCGGCUCAACCGAGGAAGUGCGCCCGAAACUAGCAGGCUUGAGUACCGGAGAGGAUGGCGGAAUUCCCGGUGUAGAGGUGAAAUUCGUAGAUAUCGGGAGGAACACCAGCGGCGAAGGCGGCCAUCUGGACGGAUACUGACGCUGAGACGCGAAAGCGUGGGGAGCAAACA